RNAcentral lists this long non-coding RNA (946 nucleotides) under Marmota monax (woodchuck). Lineage: Eukaryota; Metazoa; Chordata; Mammalia; Rodentia; Sciuridae. The record is from RNAcentral.
AAAGCAUGUGCUCCAAUAGUGAGCCACACCCAGCCCUAUGUAUAACUUUUCCUCUCAGCAUAAUGUUUAGGAGACUUAGCUGUGGUGUUCUGUGUACUAGUACUUUAUGUUUUCAUUAUUGCUGAUCAUGGUCCAUUGUAUGAUUAUAUAAAAAUGUUUUGUUUUCUGUUGAUAGAUGUUUGUAUUUUGUCAAACUUUUGGCUAUCAGGAAUAAUGCUGCCAGGAAAUGUUCUUGUAGAAGUCAUUCAUGGGCAGUGAACUAAUCUCUCUUGAGCAUGUGGUGUAGUCCUGAGUCCUAGAGUAGGUGUAUGUUUGGUUUCAUAAGGAACUAACAAAGAGCAUGCAUGAGAGUUCCAGUGACUGCAUAUCCUCAGCAACCCUUGAGAAUGACCAUUGAAAUUCAUUAACCAUUUUGCUGAGCAUCUGUUUGUAGUUUUAAUCUGCAUUUCUUGGGUCAUAUCCUGAGCACCCCUAGGAUCUAUGUUGGUUGUUAGAAUGUAUUUUGUGAAAUGCUUGCUCAAGUGCUUUGUUCAUUUUAAUGUUGAAAUAACUUUUGCUUAUGGAUUUUUAGGGUUCCUUUGUAUAUUCUCUAUAUAGAUUUUGUAUUAGUUGAUAGCUGAUGUAUUUACAGCCUUAAUGAUAUCUUUUGAUAAUGAGAUGUUUAUGAUUUUAAUCCGGGCUGAUUUACCAAUUUUCUGUUUUGGUUUAAUGCAUUGAGUCCUGCAAUAUAAGAAAUCCUUACCUACCCCAAUCCAAUAUCAGAAAAAAAUUUGGUUUUGAUUUUUUAUAUAGAUGUAGACUAAAUCUAAAAAACAUUUGUGUGUGUGUGUGUGUGUGUGUGUAUAGCUUGGAUGAAGGACAAGAGUUUAUUAUUCUCCAUGCUGGUGUUAUUCCAACACCAUUUUAAAAAAUACCAUCCUGCCCCAUGUGAUUGCAGAGGUGAUCU